CAGCUUAACUACAGAAAGUUGAAAUGUGCCUAGCUCGAACCCAUUUGUCACUCAAGCGUCUUCCUUUCUACUUCAUAUAUGGGUCUGCUUCUAUCUUUGCCUGUGUUGCUGAAGAUAGAAUGGAUCUUCUUAGGGCUGCGAUUAUUGGCCCUAAGGGAACACCCUACCAUGAUGGCCUCUUCUUCUUUGAUGCACAUUUUACCUCUAACUAUCCUUCUGAGCCUCCGUUGGUGCAUUACCAUUCUGGAGGGCUUUGACUUAAUCCGAACUUGUAUAAUUGUGGAAAAGUCUGCCUCAUUGGUUUUAUAAACUACCAUGAGGGCUCUUCAUCUCCAGUCGCUGGUCCACUGCUUCUCUGGUUUUAUAAAAAGGAAGUGGGGAUGGACAUUCGUGGAUUUGCCGUCCCUGAUUUGCUUUGUGGAGGCUACAACCUGGAGUCUCAUAGGUGUGUGAAGAUGAUCUAGGGCAUUGCUUCGUUAGGGGUUCACUUAUGUACAAGAAUGGCAUGUUCUUUCACGUGUAAUAUAUUGUGGUUUUUUCUACUCGACACCACCUGGACCAUGAUCACCGUAACCUGCUCUAUGGUUUGGAUCUGAGCACUGGACCAUGGUGCUGGACAGGGCACGACGCCCUAAAGACCGCUCUUUGGAAAUCCAAUAUACUUAGAUAGAUAGAAAUGAAAGUUGAGGACCAACAUGUAUGUUGUAUCGUGGAUGUCCCCCUUCAUAGCAUUGUUUUAUGAAAUGCACUAAUACUCCGAGAAGUUGUUUUGAGUAUAUUUGUUACAACAAGUAUGCUUUGG
Triticum dicoccoides is the source of this 802-nucleotide long non-coding RNA. RefSeq lists it as uncharacterized. The transcript has 5 exons. The record is from RefSeq and is a predicted model, not a curated record. Lineage: Eukaryota; Viridiplantae; Streptophyta; Magnoliopsida; Poales; Poaceae.